CUCCCCUAGGCCCCACCUUCAGCAUUUGGGAUUACAAUUCCACAUGAGUUUCACAGGGACACACAGCCAAACCAUAUUAUUCUGACCCUGAUACCCCAGAAUCUCAUGUUUUUCUCACAGAGCAAAAUACAAUCAUGCCUUUUCAAAAUUUUCCAGAAGUCUUAACUCAUUCCAAAUGUAAAAACUUCAAAGUCUCAUCUGAGACAAGGCUACCUUCUCUUCUGCCUAUGAGUCCCUGAAUUCAAAAGGGAUUUCUUUUCUUUCAAGGUGCAAUGAUAGUACAGGCAUUGGGUAAGAUUUCUCAAUCCAAAGGGAAUAAAUUUCCCAGAAAAAUAACACAAAUGCAAGUCCAAGCCCAGGAGGACAGUAUUCACUCAAUCUUAAAGCUCCAUAAUCAUCAAGAGAACUCACUAUCAUGCAGACAGCAUUAAGGAGAUAGUGUUUAACCAUUUGGGAAGGAUCCACCCCCCAUCCUCAUCUUUUGACCCCACUCCCAAAAUAAUCUCCACCAUUCUCCCCACACCCGUACCUCCAACCCCCAUGCUUCACCAUGAUUAAAUCACCUUCCACCAGGUCCCAACUUUCACAUUCCCCAUUACAAUUCCACAUGAGUAUCGGUAGGGACACAGAACCAAAUCGUAUUAUUCUGACCCUAGUUCCCCCAAAUCUCAUAUCUUUGACACACUGCAAAAUACAAUGAUGCCUUCUCUACAGUCCCCCAAAGUCUUAAGUCAUUCCAGCCUUUACUGAAGUAUCCAAAGCCCAAAGUCUUAUCUGACACAAGGCUGCAGUCCCUUCUGCCUCUGAGCCUCUGAAAUACAAAGUAAGUUAAUUACUUUCAAGGUACAAUGAUUGUACAGGCAUUGGGUAUGAAUUCCCAGCCAAAAGAAAAAACUUUGCCAGAAAGAAGCACAAAAUAUAGAUGAGACUUACAGAUCCGAUGCAAGUCAAAAACCCAGCAGGCCAGUCAUUCCAUUGUACAGCUCCAAAUCAUCACUUUUCAAUCCAAAUCCCACAUCCAGAACACAGGGGUGUGAUGGCUGGGCUCCCAAGGCCUUGGGUAGCUCUGCACCUGUGGCUUUGCAGGGUCUUUCCCCCACAGCUGCCCUCAUGGGCUGGGCUAGUGUUGAGCACUUGUAGCUUUCCACACUGAGGGUGCAAGCUGUUGGUAGGUCUAUGAAUCUGGGUUUGCAGAAUGGUGCCUCCAUGUGUGGGGGUUCCAACUCUAUAUGUUCCUUCUGUAAUGCCCUAGAAAAGCUUUCCCAUGAGGGUCUGCCUCUUGGAAAAGCUUCUGCCUGGAAACCCAGGUUUUUCUGUACAUGCUCUGGAGUCUAGACGAAGGCUCCCAAGGCUCUCCUCUUUUGCUCUGUGCACCUGCUGGCUUAACACUAUGUAGAAGCCACCAAGGCUUGCAUCUUGUACCCCUGAAGCAGUGACCCAAGCUGUGCCUGUGCAUCUUUCAGCCAUGGCUGGAGCUGGAGCUGCAGGGAUGCAGGCAGCAGUGUGCUGUGGCUGAGCACAGCAGUGGAGCCUUGCAGCUGGCCCAGGAGAACAUUCUUCUCUCUCAGGCCUUAGGGCCUGUGACAGCAAGGGCUGCUGCAAAGGUCUCUGAAAUGCCUUCAAGGCCUUUUUCCCAUUGUCUUGGCUAUUAGCACUGGACUCCAUUUUAUACAAAUUUCUAAAGCUCUCUUAGAUUUUCCCACUGAAAAUCAGGUUUUCUUUUUGACCACUUGGCCAGGCUGCAAAUUUUCCAAACUUUUAAGUUCUGCUUCUCGUUUAAAUAUAAGUUUCUACUUGAGGUCAUUUAUUUGGUCACACCGAAGACCACAGGCUUUUGGACACAGACAGGAUACCUCUUGAGCUUUGCUGCCAAAAGUUCAUGCCUAUGAUUUAGAUACACCCUAAAUCAUCACCCUCAAGUUCAAAGUUUCAUAGGUCUCCAGGUUAGGGGCAUCAUGCAGCGACGUUCUUUGCUAAGGCAAAACCAAAGUAACCUUGGCUCCUCUUUUCAGUAAAUUCCUCAUUUUCAUCUGAGACCUUGUAAGCCUGGCCUUCACUGUCCAUCCUUCUGUCACCCUUUUAAUUAUAACUAUUUAACAAGUCUCUACAAUGGUCAAAACUUCCCUUCAUCUUCCUGACUUCUUCCAAGGCCUCCAAACUUUCCAACCUCUGGCUGUUACCCUCUUGUGAUCCUGCUUUUACAUUUUCAUCCAUCCUUAUUGCAGCCUAUCAAUGCAGUAAAAAGAAGAAAUGCCCAUUUUCAGGGGAAAAAUUCACAAAGGGAUCCGAUAUCUGCAUGAAGAGAAGCUGAGUGCUGAUUGCCAAGGCAAUAAGAAAAAGGCUUUGAAGGCAUUUCAUAGCUCCACUUCCAAGCACUAAUUUUCUGUAAGAUCAUAAAGAAAAGAUGUUGAACUGGCUCAUGGUUCUGCAGGCUUUAAAGGAAUCAUAGAGGCCUCUGCUUCUGGGAGGAAUCGGGAAGCCUCCCAAUCAUACCAGAAGACCAAGCGGCAAUGGGAUGUUUCAUAUGGUAGAAGUAGGAGCAAGACAGAAGGAGGAAAGAGGUAUCACACCCUGUUAUACAACCAGAUCUCAUGACAACUCACUAUGACAAAAUCAGCAUCAAGAAGAUGAUGCUUAAUCAUUGUUGAAAGAUCUGUCCCCCCCAACACCCCCACCCCACCACUGUUUCCAGGUAGAAGCCUGUUGCAGAGCCAGAGCCUCUUGGAAAACCUCUACUAGGGCAGUGCAGAAGGAAAAUAUGGGUUUGGAGCCCCCACACAGGAGGUUACCAUCCUCCAGACCCCAGAUUUAUAGACCCACCAACAGCUCGCACCCUCAGUAUGGAAAAGCUACAGGCACUCAACACCAGCCCAACCCAUGAGAGCCGCCAAGGUACUAAACCCUGCAAAGCCACAGGUGCACCGCCCUAGUAGAGGUUUUCCAUGAGGCUCUGCCUCUGCAGGAGGCUACUCCCACAUCCUACCACCCACCACCCUCUCACCAGCUUACUGCCAACCUACUCCUCCCCACCCUACCCACUUCUUUUUCCUUCUACCCGCAACCCCCUCCCAUCCAUGAUUCAAUCACCUCCCACCAGGCCCCACCUCCAACGUUCAGGAAUACAAUUUCCCAUGAUCUUUUGUAGGAAAACACCACCAAACCAUAUUACUCUGACCCUGACACCCCUGAAUCUCAUGUCCUUCUCACAGAGUAAAAUACAAACAAGCCUUUUCAGAAGUUUCCAAAAGUCUUAACUCAUUCCAGCAGUAACUCAAAUAUAAAAAAGAUUAAAGUCUCAAACAACACGAGGCUGCAGUCCCUUCUGCUUCUGAGUCCCUGAAUGUAAAAGGGAGUGCUUCUCUUUCACGAUACAAUGAUGGUACAGGCAUUGGGUAAGCUUUCUCAGUCCAAUGGGAAGAAAUUUUCCAGAAAAAUAACACAAUUGGGACACAGGUCCAAUGCAAGCCCAAAAGCCAGGAGAGUAUGUACGCAUUCAUCACGAGAACUCACUUUCACACAGACAGCAUUAAGGAGAUACUGUUUAACCAUUUGUGAAAGAUCUGCCCCCCCAGCCCCAUCUUUCACCCCCACCCCCAGCAUAAACCCCCCAAACUUACCACACCCUCACUUCCAAUCCCAACUGUCCGCUGUGAUUAAAUCACCAUCUACCAAGCACCACUUUUAACAUUCCCCAUCACAAUUCUACAUGAGUUUUGGUUGGGGCACAGAGACAAAUCAUAUAGUUCUGCCCCUGGCCUUCCAAAUCUCAUGUUACUUUCACUUUGCAAAAUACAGUGAUGUCUUCUCUACAGUCCCCCGAAGUCUUAACUCAUUCCAGCAUUUACUCAAAUGUCCAAAGCCCAAAGUCUCAUCUGAGACAAGGCUGCAGUCCCUUCUAUCCCUGAGCCUCUGAAAUACAAAGCAAGUUAACUACUUUCAAGGUACAAUGCUUGUCCAGGCAUUGGGUAAGCAGUCCCAGCCAAAAGGAAGAAAUUUGCCAGAAAGAAGCACAAAACACAGAUGGGACUUACAGACCCCAUGCAAGUCAAAAACCCAGCAGGCCAGUCAUUCCAUCGUAGAGCUCCAAGUCAUAUUUUUUGAAUCUACAUCCCACAUCCAGAGAAGAGGGUGGUUUAAUGGCUGGUCUCCCAAAGCCUUGGGCAGCUCAGCACCUGUGGUAUGGCAAGGUCUUUCCCCAAAGCUGCCCUCAUGGGCUGGGCUGCUGUUGAGUGCCAGUAGCUUUUCAACACUAAGGGUGCAAGCUGUUGGUGGGUCUAUGAAUCUGGGGUCUGGAGAAUGGUGCCUCCCAGUGUGGGGGCUCCCACCGUAUAUGUUCCUUCUAUACCAUCCUUGUAGAGGUUUACCACGAGGCUCUGUCUGUUGGAAAAGCUUCACCUGGAAACCCAGGAUUUUCCAUACAUACUCUGGAGUCUAGAAGAUGAAGACUCCGAAGUUUCUCGUCUUGUGCUCUGUGUACCUGCUGACUUAACACUAUGUGGAAGCCACCAAGGCUUGGAGCUUGCACCCCUGAAGUAGUGACCCAAGCUGUACCUGUGCAUCUUUCAGCCAUGGCUGCAGCAGGAGCUACAGGGAUGUAGGCAGCAUUGUCCUGAGGCUACACACAGCAGGGGACCAUGGGGCUGGGCCAGGAAACCAUUCUGUCCUAGAAAACCAUUCUUCUGUCCUAGGCUUCAGGGCCUGUACAGCAAGGGCUGCUGCAAAGGUCUCUGAAAUGCCUUCAAGGCCUUUUCCCUGUUGUCUUGGCUAUUAGCACUGGGCUCCAUUUUAUGCAAGCUUCUGAAGCUGUCUUGAAUUUUCCCACUGAAAAUCAGGUUUUCUUUUUGACCACUUGACCAGGCUGCAAAUUUUUCAAACUUUUAAGCUCUGCUUCUCAUUUAAAUAUGUUUCUAACUGAGGUCAUUUAUUUGGUCACAUAGAAGACCAGGACACAGACAGGACACCUCUUGAGCUUUGCUGCCAAAAGUUCAUUCUGCCGGAUACACCCGAAACAUCACCCUCAAGUUCAAAGUUUCACAGAUCUCCAGGUUAGGGGCAUCAUGCAGUGACAUUCUUUGCUAAAGCAAAACAAAUGUAACCUUGGCUCCUGUUCCCAGUAAACUCCUCAUUUUCAUCUGAGACCUUCUAAGCCUGGCCUUUACUGUCCAUCCUUCUGUCACCCUUUUAAUUAUAACUAUUUAACAAGUCUCUACAAUGGUCCAGACUUUCCCUCAUCUUCCUGUCUUCUUCCAAGUCCUCCAAACUCUCCAACCUCUGGCUGUUAGACAAUUCUCAACCUGCUUCUACAUUUUCAGCUCUCUUUGUUGCAGCCUGUCAGUGUGGUAAAAGAAGAAAAGUCCAUUCACAGGGGGAAAAUUCAUGCAGGCUACAGAUAUUUGCAUGAAAAGAAGCUGAGAGCUGAUUACCAAGACAAGAAGGAAAAGACCUUGAAGGCAUUUCAUACCUCCACUUCAGAGCACUAAUUUUCUGUAAGAUCAUAAAGAAAAGAUGUUGAACUGGCUCAUGGCUCUGCAGGCUUUAAAGGAAUCAUAGAGGCUCCUGCUCCUAGGAGGAAUCAUGAAGCCUCCCAAUCAUACCAGAAGACCAAGCAGCAAUGGGCUAUUUUAUAUGGCAGAAGUAGGAGCAAGACAGAGAAAGGAGAAGGUUCCACACUGUUAUACAAUGAGAUCUCAUUGGAACUCAGUAUCACAAGGUCAGCAUCAAGAAGAUGGUGCUUAACCACUGGUGAAGGAUCUGCCCCCGCAACCCCCACCUCCACCUCCCACUGUUUCCAGGCAGAAGCCUGCUGCAGAGGCAGAGCCAGAUUCAUAGACCCACCAACAGCUUGCACCCCCACUGUGGAAAAGCUACAGGCACUCAACAGUAGCCCAGUCCUUGAGAGCAGCCGUGGGGGCUAAAACUUGCAAAGCCACAGGUGCACUGCCCUAACACAGGUUGUCCAUGAGGCUGUGCCUCUGCA
This 5977-nucleotide long non-coding RNA is filed under the name Homo sapiens (human). RNAcentral describes it as "HSALNT0351920". The record is from RNAcentral. Lineage: Eukaryota; Metazoa; Chordata; Mammalia; Primates; Hominidae.